RNAcentral lists this long non-coding RNA (36692 nucleotides) under Brachypodium distachyon (stiff brome). Its description in RNAcentral is "long non-coding RNA (BDIS_LNC003038)". The stretch from base 22359 to 22431 matches the Rfam family "tRNA". The record is from RNAcentral. Lineage: Eukaryota; Viridiplantae; Streptophyta; Magnoliopsida; Poales; Poaceae.
CACUAACUCGCAUCACUACUUCGUAGCUAGUAAAAAUACCAUCAUUGCAGAGACACAUCACACACCUGCUGGCUCAACCAUCAAAUCCAUUAAUUUCAGUACGUACAUAAAUACUAGCAGCAGCAGCAGUAAUUUGACCGUAUGGAUCGAUCUCAGGCAGGGGUAGUACAAAAAAGAGGAACACAUAAUAUUACUUGAGCAUUUCAUUCAAGCUCGCUCGCACAGCAGCAACCAAAUCGAUGCACGAUAAGAUCCAUGGAGCUUAGAGAGAUUAUGAUAUCAUCAGACACUCUUGCAAAAGCUGAAGACUAAAAACUUAGGCGGUGAGCUCUUCUUCCUUGUGCGUCUCGAUGACGAGGUCGGACUUGGGGUAUGCGUGGCAGGUGAGCACCCACCCGGCCUCCAUCUGGUCGUCGUCGAGGAAGCUCUGGUCCGACUGGUCCACCUCGCCGGAGAUCACCUUGCCGGCGCACGACGAGCACGACCCGGCCCUGCACGAGUAGGGCAGGUCGAUCCCUUCUUCCUCGAAGUGGUCAAGGAUGUACACGUCGUCGGGGACCUCCAUCUCCACCUCCCCCUCCGGCGUCACCAGCUUCACCUUGUACGUCGCCUGAGCACGGAGCCGGAUGGCCCUCGCCGACGGCGUCAGGGGAAGCGCCACGCGGGAUGGGGCGACGAUUGGGGACGGCGCGGGGGCGGCGGAUGUGAAGAGGGAGAAGGGCGCGCGGAGGCUGCUCAGGGCGGUCGCCAUUGCUGCUGAGAGCUGAGAGCUUGCUUGCUUGCUUGUGUGGUGUGAGGAAGAAGAAGGAGGAUGAGCUAGGGGAUGGAUGAAGAGGGGGGAUAAGUAAGUAAAGGGGGGGGCUGUGUGCCACGUGGCGGGACGUGGGUGGGGGGCUUAUCUUGGAGCGAGGAGCGUCACACGAUGCUCAUCCUCGUCGGCGCCGGGGGGCGUGUGGCUGCCCGGCGACAUCCCGUGAUCUCUCUCGCUUUCUCUUUUUUUUUUGACAAAGAAGGCAGCCUAGUUUCUGCUGGGCCUUUUCCGGCCCAAUUACUAACUAACUACUUCGGUUGCUCGGCUUUCCUUCCAGGCCCGCUAAGCGAAGCCGACGGCAGAUGCAGCCGUGGGCUGGCCGGGGAAUAUGCCGAGUUUUGGGCGGGUUAUUUUUUUUUCCUUUGAUGCGAAUAUGCCUUUUUUUUUUCUUGCAACAAGUCUGAACUUUUAUUUCUACGGACAAGUCUUGUAACUAGUACACGCGGAGAGACUUUUUUGAGUUUUGACGCGAGUUUCUGUUUGACUGACUUGUUCUCUGCGUCCAUUCGAUUUAAUUUAUCGAGACUUUUUCUGUGACAGCUAAAUAUCGAGACUUUGUUGCGGGGUUCUUUUUCGUACCAUUGCUUUCCACGCAUUUAUUAAUUUAUGUGAAUGGAGAAAACGUCUUAAAUCUAUAAUAUCUAUAAAGUUGAUCUUCACUAUUUUUGUUUGCAAGCUUGACAUAUAAGAUGUCUACAUCAUACGCAUGCAUAGUCUCCACAUCACCAUCCACAUCAUGUGUUGUAAAUCACUAGGAAUCCAUUUUGGUGGUCUUUUUGAAUGUCAUAUUUUGAUACUUAGGAUUGUCAACUUAACGUUCUAUAUAAAUAUUUCGCCAAAUACACAUAUUUUCAUGACAUUAUCAAUCUUUUUAAGAUCUGCAAACACACAUAUUUUGAUGUUCAUGUACAUCAAAAUUAUUCCUAUUGUUUUGCUCCAUAGGUGUUAUGAAUGAUAAAAUCAUUUUGUCCUACAAUAUUUAUAUUUCUUUUGCAUUUAACCAUAUUAUUAUCAUGUGUUCCUAACGUCAUAUCCAGAUGUGCAUCUAGAACUUUCCGCGGCAACGCGCGGGGAUCACCUAGUUAUUACUGUUUGCAAUCCAUAUAUAAAGCGAAGAUAUAUAAAGCAAAAAAAAAACAUCACCUAGUUAUUACUGUUUGCGGGGAUCCACACCGUAAUAAUAACCUAAACGAACAUAUAUAACAAUCCAUGUGGGCAGAAAAAAACAUACAUGAGACAUAUAUAAAGCGACGUCAUCAGCUAUCUACUCCAAUUAUCCAACUGUUAAUCUGCUACCUAGAUCGCUUACAUAUGCAGGCCGUUGCAUGUGCCGUGCUAUAUCACGAAGAUCCAAGACAUAAUACGUGAUCUAGACAGACAUGUAGCUGCUCUCUGUCCUUUCUUACUGAUCAAGGAACAUUUAUAAAAUUAAAAUGUUCUCAUCAGUUCCUGCUGAUUGUCUUGAGACAUUAGCAACCGGUUAAUGAUAAAGAAUGGAAAUCAACGGGGGUCGUCAUCAGAUGCAGAAUCUCUUGUAUGCUUAGCUUGUGGAUUACUACUGUAAUAAAUGCGCGUGGCGUAAAGUUUGCACCAAAUCACACAGCGACAAACGGUCAGACAUUGCGUACAUGCAUCCAUGUAUCCCUUCAUUUGACCACAUAAAGCAGUAUUACCUCCGUCCAAUAAUAACGGGGUGUAUUAGCUUUCCUUUGAUCUAUGGUUUGACCACAAAUUAUUCUAAUAAUAUAUAAUUAUAAGGCGUAAGUUGAUAUCCAUUAUAUUUCUAUUCAACGAUAUUUGAUUAUGGUUAUGACUUUGAUCACAUUAGUCACAUAUUAAUAGAGUAAUUUGUGAUCAAAGGCGAAGUACUACAACAGCUAAUACACACUUAUGUUUAAUUAAUUAAAACAGACUUGAUGCUUCCCCUCUACACUUUUCCCCCUGAUUAGUUCCAGCUGCUCCUUCCGAGUAAUUCAAAUACAUCUGCUGUAGUUACCGUUCCUCGCUAUUUGGAUUGAUCGAUUGACUGAUUGAUUAAGGUGUGUGCACGUAAGAAGGUCAAUUAAUUGAUUAACUGACUAAGAUCCGUGUGUUUUGGUCUAGCCAUGCAUGAUUUUCACUUUGCUUGCAAGCAAGCAGAUAGCUAGCUAGGCAGUAUUUCGUGCCUCCCAUGCCAUGCAUCUUGGUUUUCCCAGGCCAAAAAACUGUCUGUCUGUCCGUCUGUCAGGCAGCAAGGGGAAUGGUCGAAUAUUGAACCGGUCAUGCACGGGGUAACUGACGACGCUAGAACACGCAGUAUAUCGUACCACGCACGUCUGCUUCUUCUAUUUUGACAAAAAAUAGCAAAGAUAUUUCUUGUUUUUCCCCUCUUCUCAUUCAUGUUUUCUUGGCAUGCUCUUUCUUUUGGUAUGUGGCAAUAAUGAGCUUAUCCGAGUUAGGAUAAGGUUAGCACAGCCACAAUAUUAAUCAAUACUAUUAGUAUAUCGUCUGGUAGUAAUGUGUUGUUAAGUCAUGAUGGUGGAGAACAACAACACACGCUUUGUUAGUUAGAAUGGCCAGCCAGCUAGCUCAGUUGAAUGCCCUUCAAUCUAUGAUUGAUUUGCGUAUGCAUAUUUCUGUUGAAGCCGUCAUAUAUAUGGCGUGGCAGCUGCAUAUGCAAGAGCUAGUGUCCAACAAACAAGAACCAACCAGACCCAAAGCGUGUCGGCGCCGAUAGCCCGUUCUGCCGUUCCCUUGCGUGGCACGACACGGUAACCAAUCAAAAUCCAUAUCAUUUUUUCCUUUCUCAUAAAAAAUGUCUAGUACAGUCGCAAAAAAAAUAAAUGUUUAGUGCUAUAUACUCCUACUCCUUCCUAAAUAUCAUAAGUUUUUCCUACUAAGUUAUAGUUUUGUCUGUCUUAAAUCAAACUUCUUCAAGUUAUAUAUCUUCAUAGUAUGUCCAUUUAAUAUUGUUGAUCUCAGUAGAUUUUAUUUAACUUAGAACGACACGGACACAAUUUCUUAUACUCGUAGUACUAGUACUAUUUGGGAACGAAGCUGGUACUUAGAGUAUUUUUUUUUCGUGAUUCAAGUAUUUUUAUUGAGUGCCUUAAUGAACUCCAUUUUUCAUUUUCGACUCCGAUGUGGCAUGGGCUUUGCCGCAAGAAAAAAAAACAUCGAAAAAAUGGAAAAAAAGAAAGGAAAAGGAAACGGUAAAGUGUGAAAAGGUUUUAAAAAUGCCAGCGUGGGGUCCACCCAGUUUGAGGUUGACGACGACAAGUAGUUGCAGCAGCAGAGGAGUAUUUCUUUCUCCCUUCCGUGCGCCCAAAUUUCUCCUCUCCCCCCUUCCUUCCUGCUCUCUCUUCUUCGCCAUUCGGGACCUCUUUCUUCUCCAAUCUCGCUACUAACUCCUCUCCGAUCAACCGGUCCAGAGACGGAGGCGCAGCAGACGCACCGAGGUAACACGGAGAUCCAUCCCGCCCAACCAUCUUCUCCUGCCCCCCCUCUCAUGAUUUCUGGUGUUUCUGUUGGUUGUUCUUGUUAUGGGAUUGGAUUCGGUUGGAGCUUGGAAGAACACGCGCGCCGUACAUGCAUUCGGCAACGACAGCGGGGGUUUAUUUCCGAUUUCAAGACCCAAGAACGGAUUUUUGGGACGGAUUUGGGGAUUGGGAUGUUUCUGUCUUCCGUGCCGUCGACUCCCGCCCACCUCUGUUGACUUGGACCUCCGGCCCUUUAAUUUUUUUAUUUUAGGAUUUUUGUUCGGGGGAUUUGUUCUUGUAGUAGUACUAGCUCUUUAUUUUUUUUGGAUCAUUGGGAUUUGGAAGGGACAGCCUGGCCUUCGGGUUGAUCGCCAACGCCCCCGCCUUCGAUUUCACCAACCUUCUUCUUCUUGUUGGUGCGAUUCAAGUUUCAGGCUCCCGAUUUGCUCAGCGUUUCUGACCAUCUGCGCCUCGAUUUGCUAGGUCAAUGCUUGCUCGAUUCCAACCUUCGUGAGCAGUAGUGAUCAAUGGAUGCAUCCCAUUUUCUUUCUCUUUCAAAUUUGUUGACUUGGGAUUUUACUCUAUCUUUUGUUCUCCUGUCGGUUGGUUGGUUUGCUUGUAUUGACCCAGUAAUGGAUGGAUACUAAUGGCGUGCUGCUUGGCUGAACUGGUCAGGCGAAGGCGACCGCCAACCACCCCGGAGGAGAUCUGAGACCCGACCGACCGCCGCCUGCUGGAGGGGGAAGCUGGUGGAGCAGCAGGAAGGGCCGUAUGCUUGUCGCAGGCCAUGUGCCCGGACAUGAAUCCGCGCCAUACAGCAAGGUAGUCUAGUGUUUGAUUCCAGGAAUAUCGCCAUACUGUGUUAUGAAUUUUGUGUCCCAAUUCAUAGUCAUAGGUUCCAUGGGAUGCUCAGGAAGGGCUCUGUAUCAAUGAAAUUUCCUGUAUCAAUAAGCCAAUUGUAGUCUCGGACACCUGGUAUAUGCAGAACCAGAAACUUGCUUAGCCUUUAAUUCAUUAGUGUCGUCUGUUAAACAAUGGAAUGGAAGUUCCUUUAGUUUUCUGGUUUCUGGUCUUGCACGCCUGAAACGUCGGUCAACUCUUCGACACUAACCUGAUGCUGUGUUUGGGUAAACCUGAAUGAAGAUAUUUUGUUUAUUUCUCCGGUCACCUAACCCUGUGGAUAUUUGAUUUUGGACAACCUGGUUUGGUAGAGAAGUGCCCUUGAGGCAAGGGAACUUCCUCAUCAGAUAUUUGUGUCUUUGACUGUGUCUGUGUUUUCUAAAUCCCAUUCUGACCCGGUCUUCUUUUCGUACUGGCAGUCAAGUUGAAUCAGAGGUUCUAGACGGUAAUCGUAACCAUCACAGCCAGCUUGAUGCUGAUCAUCUUGUACAAAUUGGGAGGAGUCCUAUCAAGCGUGGUAGCAACAAUCUGUCCACAGACGACAAUUUCUCCUCGAGUGCCUCUUUGCAUAAACAUGAACAUGUGAGCUCCGAUCCAUCGGCCCCUAAGGCCGAUGACCGCUCAAUUAAGUCUGGUGAUGAUUCUGAUGGGGCUGAGAGUACCAAUGGCAAAAGCAACAAUACGGACUCCCCAGGUACUGAAAAUGAUAGCAUCUGGAUACCACCUGAAGCUGCAGACAAGGGAGAUGAGACCGAGAGUAACAUUGCUUAUGAUGACGACGAUGACGAUUAUGGUGAUGGAAUCAAGUGGGGCCAGUCAAGUUUCCCAGCCGCUGGUGAGGAACACGAGGCCAGCCCCAAUCCUAAGGAUGAGCGAGAAAAUGCAAUGUUGGAAGCUAUGAAUGGACAACUCAAGAUACUCGUGAGUCGGUUUUUGGCCUCUGCUGGUAUCCCCUUUGGAAAAGGAGAGAGUAGUGAGAGUUGGCUCGAUAUUGUGACCUCCCUGUCGUGGGAAGCUGCACUACUUAUCAAACCUGAUUCUACCAUCGGAAAGGAAAUGGACCCUGGCUCUUAUAUCAAGGUCAAAUGUGUAGCAUCUGGUACUCGCUGGCAAAGGUGACACAUUUGUUCACUUAAAGGUUUUUUAAAAUAUAAUGUAUUCUAUCUGCGUGUUUGGUUAUACACGUUCACUUCAUAACCUUGACUGCAGUGAGGUGAUCAAGGGAUUAGUCUUCAAGAAGAACACUGCUCAUAAGCACAUGCCGACCAGUUGUCACAAUCCUAGGCUGCUACUACUGGAAGGAGUCCUGGGGCACUCUGAUGUUGGUUUAUCAUCGUUUAAUUCAAUGAAUCAGGUUGGUCCUUUCAUAUACAUAUGCACAUUGAAUUGUUUAUAGUAAACGCCGUUUAUUUUUGUUGGAUAGAAGAUUAAGACAUCUGUUCCGUGCCUUUAACAAUUAGGAAAAGGACCAUCUGGAGAGGACUAUAAGUAAGGUGAUUGAUAUAUGCAGUCCCAAUGUUAUCAUGGUUGAGAAAACUGUUUCACGAGACAUACAAGAACUUCUAUUAAGACAAGGGUGUACACUAAUUCUUGAUAUGAAGCUCAGCCGGUUGCAAAGAAUUGCACGCUGUACGGGUUCUCCUAUAAUAUCAUUUCCAGAAGUUCUGGAUAAACCGAAGCUGAAGCAGUGUGACUACUUCCAUAUUGAAAAAUUCAUUGAAGAACACAACGAUGCCAGUGAAGGUGGGAAAAGACUGUCUAAAACAUUAAUGUUCUUGGAAGGAUUUCCCAGGCCAUUGGGUUGCACGGUAUGUCUACCUAACUAGUAUUACAUGUAUGAUGCAUUUUAUACAUUUUCAGUUCCAUUCUUAUUUUUUCCCUAAGAUUGUUUAUUUUCCUCCAAAAGCAAAAUAAAUAAACUAUGCCACGGAGUAUUUUUCCUAUGUCUUUUCUUCCCUGAAAUCUCCCCAACCAAAGCAUCCCUUUGUAUGGAAGUGAAAUCCAUAACCAGAAGUUGUUCCAGCUUACUGUGGACAUGUCUAUUACUUCGACCAGUUAUUACUUCUUAAUAGCUGGCUUGUAGACUGUAAUUAAACAUCUUCUCUAUUCGAGUGGUGUGUGGCCAUAAAAUUUUACGGUUUGACUAAUAAGGCAGAGAACCAAGGUGAUUACAACUUGGCAGGAGCUAGAUACACUUAUGGUGCUUUAAAGUAACAAACCUGGUUUUGUUUGUGGUGAGAUCCAUAGUAGUGGUAUGUGCUUUUAUCAAUUAUUACGAUGAGUGAAUACCAAUUGAUAGUGAUAUAUUCCUGCAUAUUAGUUACAUUCCACUGAACAAAUAGUAAGUGACAGACCAAAUUGUGUUUCAUGGAUUGUUAAAUUAUCUGAGUGACAAUGGUUCCUUUCUCAUCCAGAUACUGCUCCGUGGAGCAAAUACUGAAGAAUUGAAGAAAGUCAAGCAAGUCAUGCACUACACAGUCUUUGCAGCAUACCACUUGAUCCUCGAAACGUCUUUCUUUGAAGAUCAGCGGGUAUUCUUAAAUGAUAAAAAUGUUUCCAAAGAAAAUUAUGUCACCGCUAUGGUAGGGCCUUCAGCAAUUGGUGAUGAUACGGCUGUUCUGGGUUGUGCCAUCCCUCCUUCACAUGAUGAUUCUCCAGCACUUAAAUUAUACCAUGCCACUUCUAAUAUCUAUGCGGAUGGGAAGAAAUCUCUCAGUUAUACAAAUGUAGAUGCUCCAGUUUCAAUAACAAACAGCUCUUUGGAUGAACUUGGAGAAGGUGCAAAUGUCCGGCAUAGCUCAACAUCACCCCUUCACACUGGAAGGCUACCACCACCAGUAUCAGGACCAUUAAGAAAAUUUGCUGACAAGUUACAUCGUCAUAAUAUUUAUUUACCUGUCACAUCAUUCCAAGAAACAACUGAUAAUAAAAUAGAAGGCAGGGUUGAAUCUAGGAAAGAGAUGGUUAGUAAUGGAUUUCAUGUUGGGUCAAAGGUGGAAGAGUCUGCAGCUUCCAGUGAAAUUUUGGAUGACACGAAAGAUCUCUUAAAACAAGAAAGGAUCCAAGAAGUAAUGCCAUCAGGUUCUUCUGGGCAUGGCAAACAUGAGGAAUCAUCCGCUAUGGCUGAAGAUGGGGAACAUCACAGCACCAGUAUCAUCAGCAAUGGGAACAUUUCUAACGAAGAUCAAGCCGAUGAUGCACUUGAUUCUGACAGUAUACUGAUUUUGAUGUCUAGCCAAUGCAUCACAAAGCAGAUUAUAUGUCUCCCGAGCCAACUGUGCCGUAUAAAAUACUACGGGAACUUUGAUUUGUCCUUGGGGCGAUAUUUGCAAGACAUUUUGCAGAAUCAGGUAACAACAGUUUACCACUUCUUCGUUUGUUCACACAUUGUUCUUAUUUACACUGAAUAUUAUAUUUUUGUGCUAGUAAUGUACAUUUUAUUUCGGCUCCAUUGAUACUCUUUUUUGCGAUGUUAUUUGGCUCACUAAUAUUUAUUCGUACUAGAAAGCAAGCUGCUCAUCUUGUCAAGAGCCUCCAGAGGCUCACAUAUAUUCUUACACUCAUCAAAAUGGGAAUUUGACUGUUCAAUCAAAGAAUUUGGUGUCCCAACAUCGCUUACCUGGCGAAUCCGAAGGAAAAAUAUGGAUGUGGACUAGAUGCUUGAGAUGUGAACAUGAACAUGGGACAUCUAAAUCGACUCCUAGAGUGUUAAUAUCAUCUGAAGCGCGCAAUCUCUCUUUUGGGAAAUUCCUGGAACUCAGUUUUUCAAGUCACUCCGCAGCGAGAAGGCUAUCCAUAUGUGGGCAUUUGGUGAACAGGGACUGCUUGCGUUUUUUUGGGUACGCUCGAUGUACUUUUCACAUCAAACAAAAUUAUUUUUUGGCUGCCUUUAGAUGUAACUAUUUCUUUAAUGAUAAUUUCUUUUUCUUACUGACUUCAGGUUGGGCUCCAAAGUUGCAAUGUUCCGCUACUCCUCAGUAGAAAUUUACACUACCUGCAAACCACCACCCACCCUCCACUUCGACAACCCUAGCAGACAGAAUUGGUUUGAAAAAGAGAGGAUACAUGUAUGUCUUAAUACUCUCUACCAUUACCAUCUCAUAGUUGUCUCCAGUACAUGCAUAGUAAUACUUUUUUUUUUGCACUUUCAAAGAUUCUUGCUAGAGGUAUGAAACUUUUUUCUGAGGUAGCAACCUUGCUACAACUCUUGAAGAAUCAGCAUCAUGAUGUGACAGCAACCAGUUGUGGCACAUUUGACCCUGUUAAGGACUUCUCUGAACUCGAAGAGUUGUUGAUGAAAGAAAAGGCCGAUUUUGAGGUAGGCAUCCUUGUCUUAAUUUCUUUUAGACUGGAACUUUGUAUGCCAAUGAAUUUGUUAUGUUUAAUUUAUAUUUAUGGGUUACUAUCUUUAUUUUUAUGCAGGAUUCAUUAGUAAAGACAAUCAACCAAAAUGGGAGAUCAUCCUCAUCUGUGCAUGAGCUUCUUAAUAUAAAUUGGUCUUACCAGGAUGUUCUACUUGAACUUUAUGUAUGGGACCGUCGGCUCGACGAACUUUCUAUGUGUAAAUCUGCUGGGCAAGGGAGUGUUGGUAAUAGCAAUAAUCCUAGCGGAACUGCAGACAAGAUUUCUGGGGCCAACUACGAGAUUGACAAGAAAAUUGGUGAACUGACGUGUGAUAGAACUAUGACAGCUGUGAGGUCAGAUGGUACCACUGAUUGCACUGAUUGCACAAGUAACAAUAUUCCCAUUGACCAUCAAUCUGGUGAGACCGCAGCACACUUGCUUGAUGAUAGUCAGGGAGCUGGCAACUCUGAACCUUCUUGCAGUGAAGGUAGUAAAGAUGAAGGAUCUCGAUCUCUCAUUGCUCCUGAUCAAGUAGAGGUAGAGAGCACGCCACAAAACCAAAAAGUACCUUCACUUGAAGUUUCAAGUCAUACAGAGGUCCAGGGUAACGGGGUAGUUGCACAUCCAGUUUCCAAGGAACAAGAGCCUUCAAGCACUCUCCAGAAGUUCAGAAGUACUGAUUGGGAUGACAGUGAUAGAUGGAUUUGGAGUUCAUUUUGUGAGUCUCAACUGGCUUACAGGAAGGACAUUCAAAUGGGAUGUUUGGAGAAAUUUUAUCUUGUUAACCAUUACUCCCCAUCUCACCUCUCCCCCUUGUUUGAAAAACAUGAGGAGGUGGACACUCCUCAGUUCACAGUUGGCCCCGGUGGUAAUAUUUUAUGUGUAUUGGAGCAUGAGGUAUCUAGUAUAAUAGCUCGUGCUCUCGCCAUAUCUGAGGAACGUAGGCAGGAUACCAUAGUCGAGAACGAGACGGGGGAGGGCAGGGUGGAGCAUGGUAAAACGAUGGAGAAAUCCUAUAGCUUUUUCUCUGAAGGUUCUUUUAGCUCGUCACCAUGGUCAUCUAUUGGAUCAUUAGAUUCUGAAGCAAGCUUUUCAUCUUCUAUUUCGUCAUAUCCAUCUGACGACCUCUCUGGUUAUGAUACCUUGCCUUUAUUGUCCUUGGUACACCCAGAAAUCACUGUGAACGGAAAAGUAACUCUCAGAGGCAAAUAUUCGGUUACUAGUAUAUAUUCGAACCAAUUCUACCUUCUUCGAAAGAAGUGCUGCCCAUCUGAGCUUGCAUAUAUUACUUCCUUAAGCCGCUGUAAGAAGUGGGACGCUCAAGGUGGAAAGAGUAAGGCUUUAUUUGCAAAGACAUUGGAUGACAGGUUCAUCAUAAAGCAAAUCAAGAAAACAGAGUUUGAGUCCUUCAUAACAUUUGCCCCUGAUUACUUCAAGCAUGCUUACCAUUCUCUAGACACUGGCAGCCAAACUUGCCUUGCCAAAAUAUUAGGAAUCUAUCAGGUAGGUUUUUUUGACAACUGAUUUCUAUUCGAUUUAUUUCCUGACUUCUAUUGGGUUUUCAUAUGACUUGUUGUUUCAGGUCAAGCAAAUAAGGCAUGGCAAAGAGAUCAAAAUGGAUCUGAUGGUGAUGGAAAAUCUCAUGUUUGGGCACAAUAUUUCACGAAUUUAUGACCUUAAAGGUGCUAUUUUUUCACGACACAUCGCCAAAUCAAAUGACCCUGACACUGUUUACUUGGAUCAAAACUAUGUUGAGGACAUGCGUGUAUCUCCGAUCUAUAUUGGUGGAAGAACGAAGCAUCUUUUGCAGCGUGCAAUCUGGAAUGACACAUCAUUCCUCACUGUAUGUAUAAUGCAUAUCCUAUAUCUGCAGAUAAUCAUGUUUUCAAAUAAAUAUAUGUCCUAACAAAAUUAUUGUACUUGCAGUCAGUUAACGUUAUGGACUAUUCUCUGCUUGUGGGAGUGGACAAAGAAAAGAAUGAACUUGUGUUUGGCAUCAUUGAUUAUUUGAGGCAAUAUACUUGGGACAAACAGCUGGAGACAUGGGUCAAGAGUUCUUUGGUUCGAAAAAAUGUUUCACCGACUGUAAUUUCACCCAAGGAUUACAAGAAAAGGUUUAGAAAGUUCAUGGCCAAGUACUUCCUCACAGUUCCGGAUACUUGGAGUCCCGAGAAUUCUUCUGGGCCAUACAAAUCCUUUGGCCAUAGCAAUAGCAAGUUGGUAGAAGCCGAUAAUGAUGACAACCUGCUUCAGCAUCCAAUUGAAGCUGAGGCAUGUGUCUAGUUCUGUUCAGGCUGGCAUGUGUCUAGGCUAUUCAGGACUCCUCUGACAGUGCUGUUGAAGCCUAUCCAGUCGUCGUCGUUGUUGUUUCUUUGGCUUGUUUUCGCUUUGUAAAAUUGUGUACAUAUGAGGGCCUCACAAUUGACCUUUCCAGAAGUUUGCACCUUUUAGGCAGAUUACUGGGCAAGUGAGGCCCACAGUACAUGUACCUAUACAAAUGUAAAUUGUUGAUUUCACAAUUAUUAUAGUGAAAUUUACAAAAUUGGUAUGAUUUUUUUGGGAUCUACUAGGCUGAAGCCUUUUCUACUUGCUUAAUUAUUUCUUAUAAUGCCUGACACGGCUAACCGUCCAUGUUGGACUUCUGAUCUCUGUUCAAAUUUGAUCAGUUUGAUCCGUAUUUGACUUUCAUUACUCCGCUAUAGUUACAUUCAUGGAAAUGGCCAAUUUAAUGCCUCUUGAUCUUACUGCACACCUUAUGAAGAACAUUUUGUUGUCAGAUGGACAUUGUCUAUUUUGUUGUGUGCACCCAGUCACUACAAUUUUGCAGAUCUGCUGGUAUGAUAUGUACUGCUUACUUUCUUUCAUCAAUCAGUUCCACGUAUUAUUUAAAAUGAGUGAAAUCAAGUUAAACUUGUUUGUUCCAAGUUUGUUCCUUGAAUUUUGUUGUAAUAUGUGUUUAUGCCCCAAUCUCUCUUAUGAUAUCAAGAAACAGAAUAUAAUUUGAUUCCUGUUUGUUUUCAGGAAAUAACUCACUGGGGAGGACACCACUCUUUAUAAGUCCUGCAUCACAUAGUAGCUGCCUGGUGACAUGCCUCAUCUAUGCAGUUGGUCUAUGACUCUAUGUUCUAUACUUUAUUGCUAUAUAACACUUGAUAUUUUAUAUUCUCAGCUUUGACGAGGCAAAUUGUUAGUAGAUCCUAAAAUUAACUAUUUAUUUAAUUUACACAGUACACACUUUGCUGAUAAGGGAUGCUCCAAAGUAAUGCUCCAGUUCCUUUUCUAGAACCACUGGUUAUUUAAAUUGGUGCAUUUUCAGGAGAAUUAUCUAGCAUCCUGUAAUGCAAUUUCUGAUUGAUCAGAUAAUUGAUGGAAAGAACUUUCUGUGUAUUCACUUAGCAGUCUGGCUGAUACUUAACAUCUACUAGUGUGUGCAAUCCAUAGUCUGGACCAUGAACAUCGGCAGGAAGGGAUUCCUGCAAAUGAACAUGUGAGACCUCGGUGAGUUAGUUCAUUUUAAGCUUUCUUAUUUUCUACCCUUGCAAAACUUUGUUGACUAAUCCACAUAACCCUUUGUUGAACUUUAUAGUGCGUAGCACAUUUUUCUGCAGCUAUAAUCUUAUCAUACUAUCUUAUAAAAAUUCCUGAUGAAUGUUAAACAUGUGUUUUUAUCAUUUGGCUGCAUUGGUGGAAUGGUAGAUAGUAACAGUAUACAUUUCCAAGAAAUGUGGUAUUUGAAUAUAGUCCCAUUGAUCUUCCCAAAGAGUUGCAGUGUGUGCGUGCUUCUUUCCGAGAGUCCUAUAUUUGCAUUUAUUUUUCACUGAUUGUUUCAGUGAGUAUGAAACUAUGAAUUCAUAUGCAGUGUCGCUUGUGAAGUUGGCUUUGCAGCAUUUAUCUCAAGACAUUCCUUUUUCCCUGUCAUUUUAUUACUAACGCCGUCCAAACAUAACGAGCACAAUGCAAAACCACCUUCGCCCACUUUUCCAAUUGGAGUUGCUAUUUGUGUCUUAAUACAAUUCUUUUUUUGCUUCCAAAAUGGCACAUAUACUGUUGUUAUAUAUGUGUGUGUUCAUGCUAAACUUUCUAGCUCAUGCCUUGUGAUCAGGAGAUUAUGUGUUGUCACAAUGUGCUUGAGAGACAUUCUUGGGCAUGUCGUGCCACUUGCAUCUUUGUUUUCAUGACUGAUGAAUACACUGGGUUACGUGACAGAUGAACUCAUGUUAGUUUUUCGAGCAGAGUCUACCUCUUGCUCAUUUGCGAGCAGUACUGAUUUGAAUAAAUGAUAGUACAGUACCUCAGAAGUCAGAGCACUGCUUGGAACAGGCGGUAAUUUGCUUCAACUGUAAUCUACACAUAUAGUCACAUCCGCUGAAUCUUACAUAGUUAACUUUUAAACAUGAAUAUAAGAAAUUGUUGACACUUCCUUCCCUAUAGUAGCAAGAGGCAGUAGUCUGCUAUUGUACCAAUCAUCAGUCAAGGAGGUAAUCCACAAGAAUGGGGUUGGCAUGCAUCUCUUUUCUCCUUUUCACUUUUGCAGGAGGGCAUCAAAUACAUUGGCAGUAAGAGUAUGACCAGAGGGAGGACUUUUAGAUCAUUGCAGAGUGGCUCAUCAUGAUUGCGUGGAUUCUAUGCAAGUCUUGUCAUUGAGAGGGAGGUUACAAAAGGAUUGUCUGGAGAAGGUGAUAAUCUGUGUAAUGAUGCUGAUCCUAACAUCACUGAUUCAUAUAGAUUGGCACACCAUAUUUUUUUUGAAAGAGAGAGAUUGGCUCACUAUAUUUUGAAUUCUGGAUUUAGGAUUGUAAUAAGGAAUGAGUUUUCUCUCGUACAUCUUUGAGAUUUCAUUAAUCAUUUUUUUUUGCAGUGCUACUCUCAGUCUGUUUGAAGUUCCCAUUAACUGCCGAUUUUGAACAGUAAGCAUUCAUCCUAGGUGCUAAUUUUAUUACACUGCACUGCAAACUCUUUCAAUAGCUCUUUCAAUAGCUGAAUGCUUUGUAGGAAUAAUGUCGCAUUAGAUUUUUCUCAUUUCAUUUUUGAAUUUUUUUUGUUUAGUAGCUAAUGAUGAAUUGAUCAAAUCUGAAGAGAGAACUGUGGCAUGGCACUGAUGUUUUCUUGGUUGCAGAUCCUGCUUUAGCAAAAAGCAGUUGGUGUCGCCAUUUCAGUAUAAGGGAUUCGAUUUGGUCGAUUUAUGCUCAGCUUUUUCCUGGUACUGGCAGAAGCUGCCUGAACCCCAAAGUAUGGAGCAUGGAUUAUGCUGCUGCUUACCAUCAUUUCUCUACUGUAUAACCCUGUAAAGCAGCUCAAAUCAAUCAAUUUUGCAUUGCAGCAGUUGAGGGCAUUCUCCUUUUUCCUGGAACCGAUGCCUUCGAGUUCAAGGUGAUCAUCAUGUCCCAAUUCCAGAAGGCGAUCUCAUGAUUCUACAACCAAAACGAUGACUGCUGUCGGAGAUCAUAUGGAGAAUCAUGUCAGGUAACUCGUUUUUUUUUUCAAAGCCACACUAAGGUGUGUAUUGUCCCUAAUUCCUUGCCUUGUCAUCUUCUCUAUUUGUAGUAAAAUAAUCAAUCUUUACUCUGCCAGUCGCCAUGGCAACUAGUGGAGUGAUCAAUGAUAAGGAAGGUGAUUAGCCUACCACCAAAGAACAAAAAGAAGACGCAAAAGAUGACAAGCACAAGAGUUCAUUUUAACACCCCUAGUUGCACCCUUUUUGUCUCUGUCCAACAAGCUGCCCACAUCUCCACAGCACUUUUCCAGUUACAGAAAAGGGCAAAGAGUCGCUUCCCUUUUCCAAUGCAGAUUCUUCCUUUCACUAUCAACCAUUAUAUCAUUCAUCCAUGGAAGAAACUCCGCCUAGAUCAAUGCAUUAAAAAUUACUACACAUAUUCUGAUUCUGAUGCUCAUAAUAGGUAGGCCUAAGCACAAACUGCCUGCCAUCACCAUUGCUGCUUAAAGAAGACACGAUGCAAAGAUGAUAGACACACACACUAGCUGGCUAGCUGCUAUGGUAGCUAGAGAGAGUAGCUAGAUUACCCAAUCACAAAAGCAAAAAACACCUACAUUUUUCUUAAAAUUGUUAGCCUAGUUGUACUAUCUACCAUGCCCUGUUUGUUUCUGCUAAUAGCUGCUGCAAACUCCGAUCAGCUUCAGCGAUGGCUGCACAGGUCAGACAGCAUCUUCCUGCCUUCCACAAUCUCAUCAAAGAAGUCAUCCAGUUCGCCGACGACACUCUCCGCACCUGACUGCAGCACCCCAACCCAGCCUUUGAUGAUCUCCACCCUCUCGGCGAUCUCACCGGGGUCGGCAUACCCUGUGGCGAUGACCCUGUCGAACUCUGCCUUGAGGCUCUCGAUGCCGGCCCUGGCCUGCCGGAACUCGUACAUCAUGACGCCAGAGCCAGAGUGCUGCCCGGCUACUGCCUCCAUCUCCUCGGCGACGCGCUGGCGCAGGCGCCCCAUGGAGGAGACGUAGCCAGCACCCGUGGCACGGAACAUGGGCGCACAGCCAAGGUCCGGGAGGCAGGAGACCGUCCCAGAGAUGAGGAUCAUGAGGAGGAAGGAGCUGGCGUUGCGCAGCGCGUAGAGCACGCCCCGGAAACCGUUGAAGGCGUUGAGCUUGAACUCCACGGGCGACCGGUCGUCGAGCAGCAGCGACGCUGGGUCGAUCCUAGCCUCCGCAAGCGCCCGGUUCUCCUGCUCCAGCCCAACAGCCUGCCGCCUUGGCGCGUUGAUCGCACGCAUCACCUGCCAGCCAGUAGGUGUCAAUGAUGUGAUCAGAAUCAGAUAUAUUCAGAUCAAUAGAGGCAGGGGGGGAUCGUCGAUCGGACUGUACCUGACGGGCUGUGUGUGGGUUGGGGCUGCAGAGCCAGUCGUCGAAGGCGGCAUCGAUGCGGGUGGCGGAAGCGCAGUAGGUGUCCAGCGCGGUGGCGCCGGCCUUGACGACCUGGCAGGCCUCCCAUAGCCGGGAGGUCUCGUCCAUGUACUCGUCCAGCCAGCUCUCACCGGGCGGCAGGUGGAGCCGCUGCACCAGGUGGACGAGCUGCGAAUGCAGGGACCGGAGCAGCGCCGCUGCCUGUUGGAGGAACGGCGCCGACACGAACGCGCCCUCCGGCGACGAUGACGAGGCGGCCAGCGUGCCGUGGAGUUCGUCCAGGCCGUGCGCGAUGGAGGAGUAGAAUCCGUUCAUGGCGACUCUAUUUGUUGUAUAACUGGGAGCAGCAGAGCAGAGCAAAGAUCGAGAUGAGAAGAGAGUGUGGUGCAUGGGAGUGGAGGCUCUGCGCUGAGCUGGAACAGAGACUCUCGGUCAGCUUAUAUAGAGGAAGACUAGAAGACUGGACUUAGAGUGAGGGCAGUGAGUUGUACUAUGGGGAAGCAAUGAUGGUUUGUCCGGCGGUCAGGGGGAAGGAUGAUUGGGGACUGGGCUGGGCAGCCAUUGCCAGGACUCCUGUAUGUGCUCCUCCUCUUCAUGACCAUUCUAAUGGCAUUGCCAAUGCUUGAGAGCUAGUCCUACUAGCAUGCAAUGGAAUGCAUGGGAAAAUGUACUUACUCAGCCUAGCUAGCUGCCACAGCCAUUUUAAUUUCCCCAUGAAUAUCCCACCAGUUAAUUUCCCCAUGAAUAUCCCCCCACUCCAGUACUCCUACUCCAAUUCUUGUCUUGAGUUGCAUACUGCUGGUCCAGAUUCAAGGGUAGGGACCAUUUGCCAUUGACAGUGUACUACUGGCGAUUGAUUAUGAAGUUGUUGGUGCUAAUCAAGGACUCACUAGUGCUACUACUACUUGAGCAGACAGCUGUCAUCUGCUGCUGCUGCUGCUUUCCAUAUUCUGAAUCCGGGUGGGAGGGAGGAAAAAGGAGGGGGGCCAAUGUGCCGGGCCUCUGCUGGGAGCACCAUCAAUAAGCAGCAAGGAAGCAAAGAGAAGCAAGCGCUGGCUGCACUGCACUCCCCUGUCUGGCCUUCCCAAUGCACUCAGCCACCUGUUAGUCCAGAAAGGAAACAUUUUUCCUGGAUACAUGAACUCUAUGGAGUAUAUUGACCAUUGCAGCCACUGUGGGUACUUCUUUGCAACAACAUAUAUAUAUAUAUAUAUAUAUAUAUAUAUAUAUAUAUAUAUAUAUAUAUAUAUAUAUAAUAUAUAUAGUAUGGCAGCUAGCUGCAAGCAAAUGUGUUUGUUUUCUUGUUCUUUUUUCUUUUGUGCAGGCCUGAAGAGGAGCUAGCUUCUUCUUCUUCGAGAUGCAUGGGAUGCGUUGCUGCAUGAGCCAAUAGGAGCAGAGGAGUAUGAGGACAAAGUUUCAAAGGUGGCAGGGAGUCCUAGAGAUGUGUCGACAAGGUGAGCUGUACUCUACUGCUUACUUGCCCGUGGAUUAGUGGGGCACUUAAUUUAAUUUGCUUGAAUUGAUGUUAGGAGGAAUGAUGGGUUUCCUUGUACCCGUACAAAUCUCUCAGUCCGCGGCCAACACAACCCCCAUGCUUCCAUGCAAUGCAAUGCCAAUGCAAUGGCUUGGCCGCCUUUUGAGGUCCUUCUCCCUCUCGCCCGGGCCUCCAGUCCGGCAAUCAUGCCCAAUAUAUGCUCUCGUGCCCCCUUCUUCUUCCUCUCCAUUAUGACUACUCCGUUUCUCUAGGGCACACGUCGGGCCCCGCAUGUCGGUCAAGCCCUUGAGAAACUCAUGACAGUCUUAAUUCCAACACACAACUUCUACAAAAAAAAAAUGUUUCUAUUGUGAUGAUACUGUGUAAAUUAAGAAGACUACAAAUUAGUCUGGAUUGACAACAUUUCUAACAUAGUCUAUGUUGCUUGUAAAACAUGCAUGCUUGUAGUAUACUAGUACUGCAUAUAUGCGGUGGCUUCAUUAUAGUAUUAGGAUUGUCUUUUUGGUCCAAUCCAAUUCAAACACCACAGCUUCAUCGGUGCAUGCAAUCCAUCUCGUGGCAAGUGCUAAACCCUUUUAAGAAAUGGAGCUCGUGGGGUUUUGGGAGGAGGCGAGGGGGAUGUGGAUUUGGUUGGGGAAAUCAAAGGGGAUGUGUGUUGUUUCCUUUGCCCUAACCAAGAACAAAGAUUAAUUAAGCUAAAUCUUACUCCAUGAUCCAUGCAUCAGCUAGGAGCUACCUUUGAAAUACUACUACUACUUGGCCAGCCGUGCCGUACAUGCUGCGUGGUUGACCGGUGGGGGUCCAAGCACCACUCAUCGGCCGGCCAUGAAUAUUCUUCUUGUCCUCUUCCUGCUCUCUCUCUCCAGUCCUAUAAUCCAUGCAUUCAUCUCACUAUGUAUAUAUAGGCUCAUUGCAAAUUAAACAGAUCAUAAAAAGCAAAGAUCAUCUGUUUUUUUUAUUUAGAUCAAGACGGUUCGACUCCCAUAAUUGAAUUAGAUGAAAAGACCAUCUGCUAAACGUUUGCCAAACAGAAGAACAUACAGUUCAUAUGCAAAACACUUUUAUUGUCGGAAAAAGCACAUUUUUUUGGUGUGUGUUCUAUCUAAUCAACUCUCUGUGUCUUAUGUGUUAUAUACUAUCUAAGUAAACUGUUUCCUGCAAAUUUUUCCGUGGCGCGGUCUCUAUUCCGCAUCCGCAAUAUAUCCUCUCAAUUUCUUCACAUAUAAAUUUCCAUGAAUUAAUUUGGUUUUCAUAGCAACGAGAUCCAAAAGGGCAUUAAUUAUCUGCCUGCCUGCCACAGUAAUUUUACUUCUUGGAUAUACACACAUAUAUAGUACACUUACUAUUGGCGACCUUGUCCUGGACGCAUAACUCCAUUGUUUGCUCGAACUUGUAAAACAGGUGGUCACGGAUAUAUCUACGUGGCACACGUAUGCAUGUCUAGUCCAAAUUAGCAUAUGGGUUGGCGGCAACAGCAUGCAUACAUGAAAGCAGCAACGGCUAGCUUUUAAUUUAGCAUGUCUGGUCAGUCACACACACACACACACACACACACACACACUAAUUUUCUCUCUUCUUUUUUCAAAAUUUGUACAGACAUUAUUAUGAAAAUUAGCAGUACUACACUGCCAGUACAGAGUACUACUGCUACUGCUAGGUCUCAUGAUCAAAGUUGCUAGCUUAGCUAGGUGUGCUGUAGAGCUGUAGGAGUGUAGUAGUAGCUUGCAAUGGUGUGGCUGCUGGCUUGACCAGAACUUUGAAAAAUGCAUGCAAUGCAUCUAUGCUUGGACAGCAGCAGUCUACUACUACAAGUACUUAUCACUCUACAUACAGUACACAGAACAGAGAUCAAAGUUGCUGCUGCUGUUGUUCUUCUGAAGCAGCAGCCAUGCAUGCAUAAGGCUGACAGACGGUGGUGUUCUGUAUUAUAGCGUAGCUGGUUCUCGUUUGAUUACUGCUGUCAAGAGAACCCCGUGCGAUGCUACGGAACAACGGAAAGUGUAUCAAGCACGAGCCGGUGGAGGCGAAGUCUGGACAUUGAUCAACCGGCGCUCCCCUUUGAGUUGAGAUCUGCAGGCGCCUCCUCAGCCUCGUCAACGACGGUGUGGUUCUCGCUUCCCAGCAGGGGUGGAGAUCUCCAGCGGGCUUCUGCUUCCCUGUCUCCGUCACGCCUUGUAUCCUCGAUGGGGGUCUCUGGGUCGGUGGUCAGGGGCCGGACGAAAUCCCUGCCCGGCUGCGUCCGGUGCCAACGACGGCGACGCCUACGGGCGCCUUUACCUCCUUGGAGGCGUGGUCGUGGCCCCUGACCAUUCCUUCUCCAUCCUCGGGCUCCAGGGGAAACCCUUGGUUCGGUUUGCCAUGGCUCCGAAUCAGGCAGCAGCAGCGACACCUUGGCAUCGUAUCCUCCUUGGAGGCACUGCUUUGGUAGCCCGUGGGAGUUCGAGUGUCGUGGCAUGAGAUGGCAGCCUCUCUAUUCUUGGCGGCGAGGCUUGGUGGUAGCGCGAAGCCGGUGUUGAUCCUCUGCUCUGGGCGUUGGACUUCAAGGCGCGAUGUUCGUCACUAUCGGUUCCCUAGAUGAUGCAUCCUUCCCAAUUCAGUCUGGUCCAUUCCUCUACUUGCCGACCGGGGCUUGAUCUGCUUCCAGAUUGGCCUCCCUUCUUAGGCGUAUUGUUGGGGGUUGGCCAGGGUGGUCUUGGUGUCAUGGUCGCAGAUUUGGGUGUCCUGCAGCUAUCGUGAAGCGGCCUUCAAGGUCUUGUGCUCUGCCUUCUUUGCCCUAGGGCUGGAGGUGGGCAAGGCGAGUCUCAUGUCAUUGUGGUUUGAAGCUUGGUGGUGUCUCUUUAACCUGCUCUGACCCCAAGUUGGCUCAAGAUCUGUUGGCUGUAGGUCUAGGCUAGCUAGGGCUCCGUCUUAGGUCGUCCGGAGAGGACGGUCAUGUUUUUUCUUGCUUGGCCUCGCCGUUGGCGGGUGCGGUGCAUAUGUUGUAAAUCUUGUAACUUUUGGUUACUCACGCUUCUUUGCGCUUUCUUCUUAAUGAAAAUGACAUGCUUCCAGGCGUGUUCGAGAAAAAAAAAUUAGAGUCUGUUUUGAGGAACAAAUUGGCAGUUAAAUGCUUGAAGUUCAGUUCAGUUUGCUGCUGGAAUAAAGAAGAAACAACAAUUUUGAAUUGCGAUGAGAUCUAUCGAAGAACACAGCUAGCUCAUAUAUAAUGCUCUCCAUGGAAUUUGGGGUGAAAAAGGGAAGGAAAGAAGAGGAAAGCUGAAAAGAGGCAACUAAAGGAGAUGCUAGUCAAGUGUUCUCCAAAUUUUGUGUUGAAUGGCGGCUAUAUUCAUGAGUAGCAGCAAGUAGCCUAACUAGUCAAGUGUCCUUGCUGUGAUGAAUUGAAGCAGGCAGGGCAGAGCAGAGCUGUGUGUCCUCCUAGAAGCUAUAGCUAGACCUGAAGAAAGUGCAUAUCCUCCUCUAUCACUUUUCUCACCGCCAAGUUGUAAAGGGGAGAAAGACAUGCAUGGAAACUGCAAAGUUGCCUCGCUUUUACAAACCAUUGCCUUUUUGCAGGAUCUGAUCUCUAUUUCCUUUCCUGUUACCUCUCCAUGCAGCUGCUAUGCUGCUAUAGUAGCGUAUGAUCUUGGCCAUCCAUGCAUUUCUCCGUCUUGUAGCUCGGCUCGGCUGCCUAAUUGCUGGCUAUGUUGGUUGCUUUCUGGAGACAGAGAGGGAGAAUAUGCUCCAUGUUGUCCAAAAGGGAAACGCAAAAUCAAUUGCAUCCACGGUGGUUCGUUUCUUUCCUUCUCCACACUGUCUUUCUGUCUUCUUUUCUUUCUCUCUUACGUUUGUAUUUCUGAAUGAAUUGGUUGUGGUUUUACAUGUAUGUUGAUUUUUGUUUUAAAGCGUUUGCACCAACAUAUAAUACAGGCAGUUUUUUUUACAGUGCAAGAAAAGGAGAAGGACAGAAAUGAAGGGAAGCUGUAUAACUUUAACACAGCUGCUAUACAACUAUACAAGAGAAGAAGCAGAGACUCUGACAUUGAACUUGAUCAUGGGCCAUUUGGAAUAUGCUCUGACAUGGAGGUGGUAAACAAGCUCAAUCGGUUUAUCAAAAACCAGCAAGGUACAAGCAAGGGUCCAGACACUGAAGAACUGAACAAAAAGCAAGAUAAACCAGGCGAGAGAACCGCCCAGCAAAGUUGCAGACGCUAAACUAUCAGAACAACUACAAGAGUCACAAAACAUCACGAUAAGAAACAGAAAGGCUCAUUUGUGUACUAAGAUGAUAUAACUUUGCAAUAAAAUUGGCUGUGCGCAUCGUUUCAUCGUUUCGAUGCAGAGGCCGGGAAGAACCCCUUUUCGAAAAAAAACGGUUCGUCCUUUUCCAAUGAGCGUUCUCUAGCAUGAAUUCGAAUGUAAUUCGUGCACGUAAAUGAGUGGAAAAAAGAAUGCUGUUGCAAGGGGUUGGAUCAUACUGUCUAGGAGAUCUUAUCUAAUGACAUACAAACAGGAGGCGCUCGUGGCCUAAUGGAUAAGGCAUUUGACUUCUAAUCAAAGGAUUGUGGGUUCGAGUCCCACCGAGCGUGUUCUUUUUUCUUAAAUUUUUUUCAUUCAUUAUGCUUCCCAUUGAAACUUAUUUUCUUCAGCGCAUGCUAUUCAUAAGUCGUCUAAAAAGGAAUUUUUUUUUGUGCCAAAUUUUAGCAGUAAUCUUGUUGUAGCAUCGGCAACCCCAAUCAUGAAAAUAUAAAUUCAUAGAAGUGCCAGCAUAAGAUAAGAUGCUAUUAAUUUGUCCAGCAACUGAACACAGACGCUAGAAAAAUUCAGAUCAGGAUUCCAAGAACAAUAAACUGGGUGCAGCGACCAGCAUUAAAGCUUAAAGCAAUAGGGAUUGUAAUCCAGGGGUCAUCAAACAUAGUAGCAUUGUCACUGACACCAAAAAGAAUGUAUAUAUGCUGGAGCCUUUCUCUAUGCCAAAAUGCUGUUUAUUAAUUGUCUCUAUGAUUGUCAACAGCUAGGGACUAUGCAUUGUAUUGCUUCCUAGAUCUUCUCUUGCUUUUCGCCUACGAGGGGGAGCAUCUCCAUCCGGCUUCUCGGGGUCCGCGGGCUCAGGGUGGCGCCUUGCUGGGAGAUGAGAUGCCUCACGUAGCCGUAGAAGGUGCAGCCGACGAGCGUGAUCCCGCACCCGACCGCGUUCAUGGCGGAGAUCGGGUUCCGGAAGAUCAUCCAGGAGAUAAGCACCGCAGCAGCUACCUACACAGACCCAUCAUGGUACCAUCAGUUUCCCAAUGCUGAACUUUGUUUGUUGGACUGAAGAAGCAGAGUGAAGAGGAAUGGGGAUAUCAGUGCUCUCACCUUGAGGUUGCCGGCCACGUUGAAGGUCACGGCGGUCGUCGAAUGGAUGACGUAGAAGAUGGAGAAGUUGAGGCAGAAGGCGAGAAUUCCUGAGGUGAUUAUGAUGAUCAGUGCAGGGACAGUUGACUCGUAUGUGUAUAGCCAGUUGAUCACGCCGCCCCCUUCGAGUACAAUCGCUGGUACUGACAGUAUCAUGGUGGCAAAGGGUGCCAUGUAGUACACCGUGUUAAUGCUGCAGAGAGAAAAAAGGAACAGAAAACACAGGUAACCAAGAGGAAAAAUAUGCAAUAUCGUAAUUGAUCGUGUAGGUACUAUGAAAAUAUGAAGAAAUUCUACAUAGCAUGAUGACAACAGAAGCGCUAUUACAUUAUCCAUGAAUAACUCUGUUAAGAACUAUUGUGAAUUAUCAGAUGACAAGAACUACUUCCCCUUUUAUUUUUACUUUUUCUUGUUGUGAAGCUCAAACAGAUGCUAUAAGAUCAUUUCCUCUGUAAACUGACUGGAUCACUGUUUACCUGUCAAAUUUGUAUCCAUGGAGUAGGGAUUCUGCCAAGAUGGUCUUUGUAGACGUGGCGAGGCAGCCAACCAUGGCGGCACAAAAACCAAACAUGUUGAAGCUAAGCUCAGUUACUGAAGUCAAGAGGAUUCCCCCCACAAUAGGAACCAAUGAAGCCCAUAUGCGCCACUCAAAGUAUUUCCUCCAGACCAACCACUGCAGGAUAACUGUUCUACAACGAAUCAGAAAAUGACGCAACAGCAAGUGCGAAAAAGGCGUCGUCCUCGAAGAUGAACAAAUCAGAGAACCUGUCGUUGCAGGAGUGAAGGAUUUGAUAGUCUGCAUGAAGGAGACUGGGAUGUACCGCAGGCUGACAUUUCCCAGCACGAUGUUUAUGCAGAACACAAAUGACAUGGGGAAUAUCCUUUUCCAGCGAUCCUCGGGGGCAACCUCGAUCAGCGGUUUUAUCUUGAGCAUUUUGAUUGCGAUGUAAGCUCCGAUGGAAGAGCAUAUGAAGUGGACGCACGACACGGUCAGAGGAAAUUUGAACUCCAGUUUCUGCAUCCCAAGAAAAAAAAAAUCAAGUUCAUGCUUUUCUGCUGAGGAGGCUGCAAUAGUGCCACUGCCAUGAACUAAUUGUCAGUUUAAACUUGAAAGCAAAAAAAUGUUCAUUCCAAGAGAAAGAUGGUGGCAGAAGCCCAUGAGAAACAUCAGUCAUAUCGACUCUUCUACAUGUCAUUUGCGAUUAAGUAUGUUCUCAAAUAUUAUGGUACUAGUCCACAAAAACAUAUUAGCACAUAAUCAAUGUUAACUCCGAAGUCUGAACCUUGGGACAUUUUUCAGCUCACUAACGAAAUGGCUCCCAUCUCCAAUCCAUUUUGCGGAUUGUAAUCUACAUUAAAACCAAUAAUUACCAUCCCAAAUAUUUCCAAUCCUUCAUGUUUCUGAUUCUUCUUCCCACAAAUAUCUUCGUCUUAACUCCAAACCUAAUCCUUUUGUGGAGAAACCUAAUUCCAACAAUUUACAGCCAUGAAAAAGGACAAUCCCUUCAUAUUCCUAACAACAUGAUAAAUCAAAAGCCAGCUAAUCUGCUCCCCUGAUUGCGCAGAUCAACCCAUAAACAUGAACAAAUCCUCCGGAAGACGAGGAAAUCGAGAAUAUAUAUUGAAAGAAAAGUUGUAAGCAGAAUGGGACGGAGGGAGAAGAGCGGCCGCGAGACGGACCUGGAAGAUCCAUUUGUUCAUGAUGAUGACGGUGACGUUGAAGCACCACCAUUGGAGGAUGGCCAGCACCGCCCUCACCGUCGCCACGUUCCCCAUCUUCCCUUCCUCCAUAUGCAGCGCACAAAAACAACAAAGAUCCCCUGGAUUCAAUUCCAAUCCCACUAAAAAAGAAACGCCUUUAAUUUCUUCCAGCCGGAGUCCAGGAGAGAAGAAAAAGGCAGAAAGAGACAGAUGCUGGAACGGCUGGCGUAUUUAUGUGUAAUUAAUCAGUGGAAAACUCCUCUUGAUGAUCCAUUUGUGGAAGGCAGCAGGCUGGCUUCUAGAAGACCAUGGUGGUUCUUCUAGAAGGUUCCAGAAGCCGUCAAGGCGUCAGGAGAAGAGGAGGAGGAGGAGCUAGAGGGGUUUCGCUUUCGGUCGUAGGAUUUGCAGGUUGUGGUUUUUAGGUUGAGAGUUCGAUUGGUGUGAUUCUUGCCUCUCAUAAUACGUGUUGCCACUCUUCUUCUUCUUCUUCUUCUUCUUCCUCCUUCUUCUUCUUCUUCUUCUUCUCUUCUUGUAUACGUCAGCCUAGCCAGCUCAGGCUUGGACACGUGUCACGUGGGACCGUCUCAGCCGAGCUUGGACACGUGUCAUUUAAAAACUGUUUAAUGGGUCGACAUAUGGGCCUCUCUAUGAGACUCCCCUGGGACCUCCAACCAAUCCCUGCAUCUGCACAGAACACACCAUUCUUCUGAUGAAAUCAACAGCAUUUCAAGCUCAGCUCACCCGUAGAAAAGCCAGCUUGCAGCAGCCUUCUUCCCCUUCACCACCAACAAUUAUUUUACAUUCCCAAUCACAAAUCGAUAACAGAAAGCACAAACAAGUAGCUAGUCAAACAUUGUUCUAAAAUAUAUGUUCUUCAUCAUCAUAGAUCAGAGGGAUAAAAACAACAGGUGAUGAAGCACAAAACGUUGUAAACAAAACAGCAUCAUUCGUUGCUUACAGCAAACACCGAAUUAACCUCCCUUCUCCACACAGAAAGGGAAACAUCAAAUGGAGUAAUAACGUUCCAUGCAGAAACAGCCAACAUAAACAGUCUUCAACAGGUAAGACUUGUCCCUGUAAAUGUCAACUGCACAACUGACUGGUUGAUUCAACCAGUCAUGUCAGGGUACUGUAUAUGGCCCCUUCAAAGAGGGGGCCGCCAAAAGGAUCAUCCUUUUUCUUCUUUGAAUGUAAGCUUGGCCAAGCAAAAUGUUGCGGAAGAUAUUCUGCUUAUUACGUCUCUUUGCCACCAACUAGCUAAGAAUCCGACUGACUGGCAUGCUUCAUGUUCUUAUGUCUCUUCAGGACAGACAACUCGUACUUUUGCAUCCCUUCCCUCGCCCUCCGUAGACUGCACGACGGGCAAUACCACUGGCCUUUCGGGAUGCAGGUGCGCUUCGGCGUCAUGCAGUAUAUGUGAUAAGCUUCGUCACAGCCGUCGCACAAGGCGAUAUCUUUGUCAUCCUUAUUCUUGAAGCAGCAUCUGCAGAGACAGGACGGGCAGUACCAGCAUCCGAGGUUUUUCUGCUUCUCAGACGCGAUCUGGCUUUCUCUGAGGCAUCGGAUGUGAUAGAAUUUGUAAGAGCAGUAAGGAUGACCACAUACCAAGAAUCGCCUGUCGUCGUCUUCGCAUGUGCCGCAGUGUUUGCACAGCUUUGCAAGGGCAGUUGUGCACAGGUCUGGCUCGUUGUCUUCCACCACGCAUGGCACGGAGCUCCCCUCUCUUUCAUCAGCUAACUCCAUUCCACUACCAAUUUCAGGCGGUUCUAUUUUCUCAAGGACUUCAAGCCUGGCACACAGAGGACAACCAACAUGCAAACUGUUCUUGUGAACAUUUUUCAUGAUGUCUGCAGCUGACCCCUUCCCCUUAUUGCUGCAGGCCGGGCAGUGCCAGGUUGCUGGGAUCUGUUUCAUAGCAGGAUGGAGUCGCUUGACACAGUCAAAGUGGUACGUGCUGUCACAUCCAUCACAGAUAAGUCUUUUUUCUUCUUCUGCACCGUCUCCACAUUGCUUGCAAGUGCAAAUUCGACGAAGUCCACCUGUCUCGGUUCGCUUUGGAAUUGUAGAAUGACCAGAAUCACAUGGGGAGAACUGCACGGUGGUAGUCGAACCCUUUGGGAUUUUGUGGACGACACCAACCAAGCUUGUUUCCUGGUGAAGAAUGCAAUUAGUAAAAGGUGUUAAUAGAGUGCAACAACAACAAAAAAUGACCAGCAGACUGUCUCCAAACACACCAAUUACCUCUAUCCGGCGCUCAGCAGCAUCCUCUGCUUCAGAAACUCCAGAAGUCUAUAAAGAAUAUAUCGUAAGCAAUGUGCAGUACCAGCAUAAAAGCCAACAAGUUAAAGACUCCACAAUAGCUUGAAGCAUGGUCGUGGAGAAAAUAACUACAAAUUUACCUGCUUCUGAUAAGAAGCUCGUGAAAUGAUUGGAAGAUUGCUUGCUAGACAUGUCAUCUCCCGGCCAACUCGUUCAAACUUCUCCCAUGUCUACAUCAGAAACAAAUAUCCAUACAGAUACAUGAAUAUGAUGACACUUUACUCAGAAUAUUGUUUGCCUGAAUGUUAUGCAACUUCAGGUGAAACAACAAUAGCAAGCAAGCAGUUUCAUUGAGCACUGCUCCUAUACUAGCUACAACAUGGAAUGUGCUACUUAGAAAACAUGAUUCAUCCUCCCUUGGGAGUCUCCUGGUUGGAUGAUUCAAACUGUUUGGAAGGCCAAGGCAGCUAAUGUGCAAUCAAAUGGUGCAAACAUAGGAACUAGUUUCAGAACAACAGUGUAUAAAGGGCUUUCUCUACUCUGCCAAGUAAAGUGAAGUUUAUGUAUCUAUACUAGAUAAAGCUCAAGAAUAAACAAGAAAGCAGUUAUUUUUUCCGAUGAUUGAGUAAAAUGGAGAUAAAGCUACCUGCUGGAUAUCUUUGUUGAACAACGCCGGAUUCUGUGCAUAACUUCCGUUUCUCAUGUUGGCGUCAAUUCUCCCCAAAUCAAUGACCUCAUGAACAUUAUUCACAUGGAAAGUUUCAACUAGCAGAUCACACAGCAGGGCAAAUUUCUCAGAGACUAAAAUGUCAAGGAGAGCACUGUUGCACAUUGCUGUGUUGGCAUCCAAAGAUGCUGCAGUUGCAUCUUUUAACGCAACAAAGGAACAAAUCUCUUUCGCAUCCGCCAGCCCAGUAGGAUGCUCAUCUGACGAAUCUUGGGCCUUCCCAAGGUCACCCUGGUAAUCACAGAAGUUCACCGUCAGUUUCAUAUCACAGUAUAACAAGGUUGCUCUUUUUAUUAAAUAGAUAUGAGAAAAGCAAAGAAGAUGAUGACUGACUUGUUGUUCAGAUUGGCAGCGGUUGUAUCUGAGAGCGUCACAGAUGCAGCUGUGAAUCCCACCGCCCUUAUUUAUACCUGGGGCUUGCAGGUAGCCCUCCAAUGUGUUCUUCCAAGUAAUCCAAUGCCUGGCCAGCAUUGGGUGCCCAUCUUGGCGAGAAUUGCCACCGUACAGCAUCAUGGCGGCACUAGACUGCACGGAAAUAAAGCAACCAAGCACAUUGGACACGGUUCGGUUAUGUAUUACAGUAUAAAAUAGGCAUCUCAGGAGUCAGGAGACAGAAUUCCUAGGAACAAGUAGCAGGAGCCGAGAUUCAGAGCAAUUCGAAAGAACAGAGUGAGCAAAUCUAGCCGCGUGAAAUGAAAUCUUGGCUGGAGUGCUUAUGGCACCAGGAAGCCAGAGAUGUCCCAGUUGCAACAGCGGAACACGGCGGCGGGCGGGCGGGGGGAAGAAAGAAUGGAAGACGGGGAGAGCAGGGGUUAGAUGCGAAAGCUUGGCUCACCUGUCCGGGGUCGGAGCUGGCGCCGCCGUCGGCGCGGGAGGCGGCGCGGCGGCGCUUGCGCGUGUAAGUGAGGACGCCGCCGCCGCUGCUUCCGCCGGGGGUCUCCGGGGCGCGGCGCUUGGGCGGGACCGGCGGCCGGCUGGCGCCGUCCUGGGAGGCGGACAUCUUGGCUCCCGUCCGGCGAGGCUACAGCAUGUGUUUUCCCCGGCGAAGAGCGGGGCCUAGACUGGGAACUCAGCGGGAGCGCAGCCGCGGCGGGGAGGACGGCCGAGGGGGCUGGUUUCUAGGGUUUGCGGAGGGGCGGUUUGCUGGGGAAGGAUUUGGGGAUUUGUGUGGGGAGCGAGGAGCGGGAGGAAGGAAGAAGAAGAGAUUUUGCGAAACGGAAACGGGGAAAGAAACGGAAACGCGGACGGACAGGCUGUGUGUGUGCUCGCCGUCACGGCUGCCUGCUUUCAACUCUCUCUCUUCCGUCUCCACCAAUUCAAAGUGCUCACGAAAUUGGCAGCGGACGUUCGUUUGGUAUGCUUAGGGGGCGACAUCCCCGGUGAGGAGAUAUACGGUGGAGGAUGAGGCGUUGGGUCGGUAGGCUUAGGGGUCCACGUCUCCGGUGAGGUUUGGUAGGAGGAGAUAUACGGCGGAGGGUUGGGUCGGCAUGCUUAGGGGGUGACAUCUUCGGCGUUGUUGGGGUAGUAGGAGGAGAAGGAAAGGGGGAAGGGGGAGGACGGCUGAUCGUGGUGACGGUGAGGUUGUAUGUAUAGGUGGCCAACUAAGCGGAAGGAUUCGAUUUUCGUUGGUGAGGAAAUGUCUUCCCGUGGCUGUGUAAGGAAGGAGAGGCCGUGUCAAUAGGAAAUGAGCGAGAAGAGGGGCAGGAGGAAGGAGAGGCGGCUGCAAGAGGGGAGGAGCGACGAGAGGCAGACAGGGAGAAAACCCUAAUAAGGCAACAGCUGUAGGGCUAAAUGGGCUAUAGUCCAUAGUUGGGUUGUGCUUUCGCUCUCUUCUUUUUUUCCUCAUGUUCCCCGUUGUUAUCCCAGGCCUUAAUCGCUCUCUUAUUUUUUUUUCCUUGUUGGCCCGUUCGGGCAGCCCAAGCACUGUAUACGCGAGUUGGGCACCGGGUGGAAACAAAAUGUCAUCCACUGCCCAAUGCCUUCCCAAACCUUAUAGGUCACUACGUAUUCAACACAAGUAAAGAACUUCGUACCAAACAUUCAUUUGGUAAUGCUUACGGACGAUCUCUUCUAGGAGGAUAUGUGCGGGACAGGAGAUGUCGAAGAGAAGGUAAGAUGGGAAGACAAAGGACCGCUGCCCUUGACAACGCGUUUGUACGUGUCAAACAGUAUUGAAACAAGUAGAUAACUUUGCACCAAACUCUUAGCUCGGUAAUGCUUAGAUGGCGAUGUCUUUUGUGCCGCUUCGGUAGGAGGAAAUGUGUGUAGAAGAGAAACCGAGGAGGAAGAAAAUAAGGGGAAGGAACGCAUGCAGCUGACCUUAACAAUGGCGAAGUCGAACGAAUCACUUGGUGUGGCCACAAGACGACGGCGUGGUCGAAUGGAGUGGCUGAUCCAAGCGGGCGGUGCCCCCACUUGACCACGGGACAACGCCGAUGGCUUGCGGGACGACGACGAUGUUAGAUCUAAGAAACGGUGUGGCGGCGGAUCUGAGAAGAAAGAGGCGGAGGGGAAAAGAGGGUUUGGGAGACUAACCAUACGUGGCUAUAAAUACAAUCGAUGAUGUCCUGGGAAAACAUGAGGCGCAAUUGCGGAGGCAAAUAAAUGUACUACAUAAAUGAGCCAAUUUUGUGAGGAAAUUUCUCUCUUUCAUAUCAGAAAGUCUGUAUGUACGACGAUUUCGUGUGAUCUACUCGCCGAUCCAUAAUAAAUGAGCGACACUUCUUAUGGAUCUGAGGGAGUACUAAAUUUCCUCAAGCCCAAGCCCAAGCCCAGAUGGCAAUGCUAGUAGUUUGUCUUUCAUAUAGCUUUGCUAGGCCAUCUGUAUACACGCUGAAAAAAAAAAUUGCAGGCCAUGCCAGCCAGCCUCACAAAGUCAGGUGACUUAAGUCAGAGAAUACUGGCUGGUGUCAGAUGGUAGCUAAUUCCAGUUAAAUGUUGUCAAUUUUCAAAGCAGAAGCAUGAAACUACAAAAAAUAGUGGCAAUACAGAUAUGCGUAUAGAAUAUUGAUUUGCUAUCUUUCUUUCUUUUUGCAAGGAAAGUGCCAUUCCCUUGCCUGAGGAUACUAUAUUUACCACUGCCGCGUCGUUUCUCCCCUCGGCGGCAGUGAGACAUCAUAUCAGAAGGCGCUGGAGACUACAUAGCCUGCCAACGAAGAACAUCACACAGCAUGAUCCAGCAACGGGCCGCUCGCUUUGCCUCUAAAUGAGGUUGUCAUCCCUUCGCCAAGCCUUUUACCUGAACAUGGUGUGCUCAUCCCGUUAGAUGAAGACCUCAAUCAAAUUGUGAACUGGACAGAUAAGAUGUUGGAUGAUGCAAGAUAUGACAAUUUUGAUGUGAAAAGGAAAGACCAAAUACUGGCAAGAUCUCUAUACGUGAUAUCAUAAUAGUCAAUAGAAGAUCAGCAUGAGUGGAAUCACAUAAGUAAUGUCAUAAAACUUAUCAUCAGGGCUUACUCUCUAUCAAGUCAAAAAAGGAAAAUUUGCAGUGGCUGGUAUAGUUUAAAACAUGGUGAAAAGGAAAAAUUGCAGCAGCGAGGUGCUAUGUAUUAGAGCUCUUUUACGGUACCCCGGAAUUAAUAUUGGCCAUCCAUUCACCCCAAUCUAAUGGCUAUUGUUAUCGGGUACUCCACCGAUGGUUCUCUGGAGUACUACCUCGAAAAGGCACGGAGUACCUUGUUACAAGGGGUAAAAUAGUAAUCAGAGACUUUCUUAUUUCUCAUUAGGGGCAAUCUCUGAGUUUUUCCUCGCAAUCAACAUGAAAACAUUCCCCGUGUGAAAAAAUUAUAACCCGAUGAACCCUAAUUCUAAACAGGUGAGACCAUCAUCCAUAGAUUCAAUCGUAGGUCUAAAAUAAAUCAAUGGUAGAGAUGUAUAAUUGAUCCAAGAAUCCACUAGGAGGCUGCACAAUUGAUCAAUCCAUACGUGCUGUCGCUGCUGUGAUCCAAGAAUCCACGAGGAGUCUGCACAAUUGAUUGAUCCAUACAUGUUGUCCUUGCUGUGAACAGCGCCAUCAGAAUCCCGGACAGCGCUGUGCAGCCUGUAGCGGGUGAGCGGCGCGUGCGAUCAAGAAUAAAAGUGAACCAUCGACGGCGGGCAGAUCUGGCGGCUAGACAGCGGCGUGACCGACGGGGGCUUGAUCGUUCGUCGCCUCGUCGGUGGCCAGACGCGAGGGCAGGGCCGCUCGAUCAGCACUGUUCAGUCAAAACAGCCCUUACAAAAUGUCCAAAUUACCCUCAUGUUUGGACGGCCAGAUUUAUUUGGUACUCCAAUCCAUGCCAAAGAGUACCAGGGUACCGUAAAAAAGCUCAUGUAUUAUUGGUAGCUGGCUUCAACAAGUCAUGACAACUUGAAAUUUAAAUACAGUGAAAACAUGUGGAACUUUGUCAGGAUCAGAAGACUUAUUCUUAACACCGUUCAUCAUGUUGAGAGCACAGGGUUUGCAUAAACAAAGCAAAAACGCGUAAACCUCAGCAACCUAACAACUAAGAACUCACUUGCUAUUAGUUUUAAUUUGGUAUGGUUUCGUAUAUGUUGGAAUGUUUGAUUUUGUUGGAAUUUCCAAAGUGAACUAAAUGACGUAAACAACAAGCCAGGCAACUGGAAUCUGCAAUCGACAAUGGCAGUAGAAAAGUGUAGUGAUAUAUGUAUGUACCUGGGAGAAGAUGAGCAGCCGGAACUGUUAUGGGUCACAGAGAACACAUUGGAGAGAGACUUUGUGAGGUAUGCAAAGUUUGGUAUCGGCGGCAACGCGGGCACACGCUCCCCUUUCCUCAGCAGCUCCUCCAAGUCGAGCCUUUGCAAAGUGAGUACAGACUUGUUGUCUCUCCAAACAAAGGCGAGCCGGCCAUCCUGGAGAGCAAAGAGUGACCCGGGCUUUGAGCCAGGGUACCUGAACCCAUACCCCGCUGCAAUGCCCUCCCCGGCAAAGCUUCUCGCAAUGUCCACACGGCGGGAAUCCUCGUCGGACUGCCAUGGAAAUGCCUCUGUCGAUGGCUCGCCCAUCCGCGCGAUAAACAUGGCCGACCCAUUGGGAUGCACGACAUAGUGUGUGCCCUCCAACACCUUGGUUGCGAUCAGCAUAAGCUUCCUCUCGCUGUCUUCCUCGUAGGAGAGGAGCAGGAAGAAGAGGGCCUUCCGUGGUUUGCGGUCAUCCUCCGGCCGCCCCGGUGGCCACCCGAAUGUGCCUCCCCACAGUCCGGCAUACUCCCGGCCGGGCACCGGCGCCUGUGUCGCCAGCUUGUAGAGCGCGAACCGGUUGCCAUGCAUGCUUGGCCACGCUCGGUAGGUCGACAGCCGCAGCUGGGCGCCCCGGAGGCUCAGGCCAACGCUCUUGCCGGCGCGCAAGAACUCGUCCAAUGCCAGAUGCUUGCUGCCUCCGAACUCUACCGUUGAAUUGGCCGACGCAGAGCGCGUCACCAUCUGCAGCAGCCCUUUCCUGACGAACCCGGCCAUCGCAGACAGGCUCCUCCGAAGGGGAACCUUAUCACCUGCAGCAUCGCCGUUCGUCGUCGGCGGCAUCUUCUUGGCUGCUUCCAGCAGCAGAGCCUCGAGCUCUGCCCGGCUCACCAUGCCGCCGCCGGACGACGACGAAUCCUUGUGCAGACGCAGCAUCGCCUCCCGGCGCGCGGCGAGCAAGGGGAGGUCCUCAUCGGAGCGCGCGAAGAGCGGCGCCGCGGCGAGGUCCGGCGGGAGCUUGACGCGGCAGGAGGCGACGAGCGCAUCGAGCAGGCCGCAGCGGUUACCGAAGGAGAGGCGGGAGAAGCUGGAGGAGGAAGAAGAGGGAGAAGGCGCGAGGGCCUCGAGGAGGAGGGCGUUGGUGUUGGGGUGGAGGGAGGAGAGGCGGCCGGGGAAGAGGGAUCCGGCGCCGUGGAGGAAGAGGAGCGCGGGGCGGCCAUGGGCGUCGGCGAGGAGCUCGAAGACGGGCGCCCAGCGGAGGCGCGGGGAGAGCUCCUGCGGGAUGGCGCGGAUGGCGACGAGGGAGAGGAACCCCGGGAGCGCCGCCACCAGGUUGCCCAGCUCCGGGUUCUGCUGCGCCCAGAGACCGCGGAGCGGGGCCGCGGAGUGGAGGAAGCGGCAGACGGUAAGAGAGGAGCCCCCGGCGGCGGCGCGCCAUGAGAGGAGGUGCGACGGCGGGGAAGAAGAAGGGAGCAGGCGGCGGCACUGCGCCAGCCAGGGCUUGUCGGCAGCGGAGAGGGCCGCGUGGAGGCGGCGGUCGGCGGCGGAGAGCGCCAGGAGGUCCCGCGGGCGGAGGUGGGCGGAGAUCAGGGCCAGCACGUCGUCCGGGAGCGCCAGGAUCAGCUCGCCCCCGGCCAUGGAGAUCGGGGUUGGGUGGGCCGUCUGCUUCCUUUCGCCUUUUUCUUUUCUUUUCUCAACCUCAAAAAAGUUCCAAGCUUUAUAAUCCUGCGAGAAGAAGACUGUGAAGAGUGACAAGCUCAGCCUGGUCUUUUUCCUCGGACGAUGAAGAAAUAUCUCUUUUUUUUUGCAUUUCGCUCUCGUGCUAUUCUCGCUGGCCACCUUGCUAAAAUAUCUCGAACCACUGUCUACACCAUUUUAUUACGCUUAUCGGUCUAUUUAUCUGCAGUUUCCUCCACAUUGCUCGACAUUGAUAAAUCACCUUCUCUAGUCACCUUCAUGCACCACAAGCUUCAGUGGAUUUACCAAUAAUUUCUUAACCCGAGUCUCUUUCGGACCCAAAAGGUGGACACACAAACUACGUGAUCAACAAGAAUGAUGUGAUACGAGGCAACAAGCAAGGAUCCGCGUCCGUUCAUGGGUUCGGAGUGUCAAAACUCAGCUCUAUGUUUCGUAGGAUUUUUACAGAAUUUCAAUCCUAGGAGUUUUUUUCUACAUGUAGCAUGGUUUCAGAACGAACAUGUUAGAUUUCUAAGAACUGUAUCCAAAUUGGCAUAAUUCAUAAGGAUUCUAAACAUCAGGUACGAGCUCAUUUAAAAUUAUUAAAGAAUAAAUAUGCAUGACAUUUCAAUCAUCUAUUUUCAUAUUCAUAUGAUUUCAAAAUCCUAUGAACCGAAUAAGCCCUAGGAUUACGACGUUGUCAAGGGUCAAGAAUGUAAAAAAGAAAAGUGUUAUAGAAGGGAAAAAAACGUCACCGUCAAAAAGAAUGAAUUAGUUUUGAUUUGGUCACAAGGUCUAGAAGAAGAAGAUGCUGCUUCUUGGUGGAUGUCAUGUCGACGUCAAGAUCACCUAUUGGCACAUUUCGUCCAGUCGUCGUUUGUAGUUUAUGUCCAGCGAAUUUGAGACCCGGUCAAACAGUGAACUCAUCAUCCUCGACGACUUUGACCAGGGUGGGUCCUUUGGGCCUUAAAAGACUCUCCUCGCUUUGGGCCCAUUAUAUUAGACAAGACCCCUUAUACAAAACAAGAGAGAGGCCAAGCCCAUGAGCAGAAGAACGCAACGGGCUGUGGGCCGGAAGCAGUAUCACCGUGGCAUCGAGAGCAGAUUACUUUUUAUUCGCUCAAACUAACAAUGAAACCUGCCCUAAAAAAAAACUAACAAUGAAUGAUCCCUAAAAAAAAAUUACCACUUGAAUGACAGGUCGUCCUCUACAAUUAUGGUUGUUUACAUGGCCUAAAUCAGCCAACUUUGUCUGACCACUCUGCUCUACGGUCGAAUCUAAGCUAGUAACUUAAUGGGCUUGUUUGGUCCUAAUCAUGGAAGAUGAUGAUUGGUCUAUGACAUAGAUACAGACUGGGACAGGGGCGCCAGACUCGUGCCUAAUCCUUCUUGUUUCAUCCAAGAAAAGUCUUAAGCCGUAUACACUGCCAGCCGGUACGCAUCGCAAUCUCAGGAUGACGCUCAAAUUGUCAAACCAGUUUGUCCUAAGAUGAGUUUUUUGUUUUGUUCAACGUAUAGCUGUAAUGGUCUGAUGGCAAAGAAUCUAACUGAAUGUAUAGCUGCAUGGUCUGAUGACAAAAGAGUACGCAUCUCAGAAAAAUGCGGGCAAGAACACAAGCAAAACCAAAGAUUAAUACGAUAACACACUGUACGAAAUUAACACUGGAUAGAGAUCGAAAAAUAACAAUCAAGAAAUACGUAAAUGUAACCCUGCAAAAGAAACAUAAAUGUACUGCAUAAUUACAGUACACAAUAAUACUUGUUGCAGCAAAACUCUGAUGAUCAUCAUCAUUUCUGAUUGUGAAGACGUCCUUUCAAUGAAAUUCAAUCAAGAAACCAAUUGCUUCAUUGCUCAUGAUAGCUACGAGUAGCUAGUAACGGCAUGAAAUCGAGAUCAUCUUAAUCUGUUUUGCAGCUGAUUGCAUGCUCCUCAUUUCUUGGCGGCGGCAUUGCUGGAGGAGGAAGAAGCUGAAGCAGAGGAGGUCCUCUGUUCGUCGACCUUGUGCACCACCUUGCUCCUGCCUCUGUGCGCCACCAACAUCUUCCUCAGCGCGCGCAUCAUCGCCACCAGCCCCGGCGCCCUUCUCCGGGACGAGCCGCUCCUCCUCGCCGCCGCGACCUGCAGCACCGCCACCUCGCGCUCCUCCUUCGCUGCCCGCCGCCGGCGGGAAAUGUCGAAGGACAGGUCGUCGUCGGCCAAGUCCUCCCUGCCGUCGUCGUUGAGGUCCUCCCACAGGCUGUCCAUCAUCUCCUCUUCUUCGUCCUCGGCUCCGGCGGGGGAGCAGAAAUUGGCGCGCCAUGGCGAUGCGGGAGCGGCGCUGGAGUCCGCGGCAGAGAAGCUGCGGCGGAUGGGCGACGACGAGAGCAGCCACGCCGGCGGCGGAGACGCGGACGCCCUGCUGUAAUUCCGGCGGU